AUCUCACACACAUACCCAUUCAAAACAGUUUUUCACUCAUUUUAUUCUUUUAGAGAGAUGGGUAGCAUAUUAUCCGCUUUGUUUAUUUUAUUUAAAAAUAAAUUUAGCUAAAAUUAUAAAUUGCUUAGGAUUCAAAUGAGAUCUCGAAUAUCAACCAUCAAGCUUUUUGUCACUUACGCUAGACGGCUCAUUUUUUUUUUUU
This 202-nucleotide long non-coding RNA is filed under the name Ananas comosus (pineapple). RNAcentral's name for it is "long non-coding RNA (ACOM_LNC040488)". The record is from RNAcentral. Lineage: Eukaryota; Viridiplantae; Streptophyta; Magnoliopsida; Poales; Bromeliaceae.